GGCUUAUUUAUUUAUUUAUUUUUUCUGUAUUAAUUUAUUCCAAAUGCAUGUUGAUAUGUGUUGAUGCACAUGCCACAGUGCACAUACAGAGGUCACAGGUGCACAUGCCACAGUGCAUAUACAGAGGUCAAAGGACAACUUGUGGGAGUUGGUUCUCUCCUUCCAACAUGGGGGUCCUGAAGAUUGAACUCAGGUUACCAGCCUUACACAGCACACUCUCCUUUACCUUCUUAGCCAUCUCAUGAGCCCAGCCUCUUUAUUCUUAAUGGUGCAUGAACAUUAUUAAUAAUUCAAGGCAAUAAUGUCAUCUAUUCCAUUAUAUUCUUCAUCAUCUUGGGGUCUGAAACUGUUAGGGCAAUCUGGUUCUUAAACCUGUUUCAUAAAUUUGAGCAAAUAAAGUAACUAACUGGUUUUUCUAGCAAAUAUUUACUGAGCAUUUACUGUGUGCGUGGGAGCAGAAGCGUGAAUGCUUACAGUCCUGCUGAUCCAACAUCCCUUCGUAACCUAAGCCUGGCGUACAAGUCAAGGGUUGUGAACACUGUUCAAAAGAGAGCAAAAAAGUCCCCAUAGGCCAUCGGUUAGAUAAAACCUUGCUACCCACAUGUGCUGUCUAGCUUUUUGUCAACUCCAUAUAAACUAGCUUCACCCAGGAGGAAGGAACCUUGAUUGAGAAACUACCUCCAUCUGAUUGGCACGCAGGGGAGAAAACGUAGAACUUUUUGUUGUUGUUGUUUUGAUUAAUGGCUGAUAAGGAACAGUCCAGCCCAUGGUGGGUGGGUCACUCCUGGGCAGCAGCUGGUCUUGGGUGGCACAAGAAAACAGACUGGGUGAGCUGUGGAGAGCAGGACGUAAGGAGUGUCCCCCAGUAGCCGCUGCCUCAGUUCCUGCCCUCAGUGGUCCACUGUGACCUGGAAGUUGUACAACAAAAUAAACCUUUUCUUCUCCAAGUUGGCUUUGGUCAGCAUUUUAUCACAGAAACAACAGCAAACUAGAACACCAAACCAGGCCAGAUAAUUCUAGAUGAUGCAGGGAGUGUUUUUCUCCCUUGGUCUCUGUUGAUCAAAGAAUGAACUCAUUUUGGACAAGCUUUCCCCAGCUCCAGAGACUUUCAUCCAAGACGCCACGGCUCCCUAUAAAUGGCAAUUAUGUCUUUUAACACCCUUGUUCGCCCCAUUUAAUGGAGAAGAAAAGUGAGGAGGAGAAAGAUCCAUUGCUUAAGGAGGAGCCACCAACAAGGGAUGAUGCUUGUGGCCUGCUGAGACCAGCUCUGUCUUCGAGUGAGCAGAAGGCGCCCAGCAGCUGGCUUCUCCAGUGUGAGGUUCGGCAGUCUCUGCUGUCCUUGAUUUCCUGAGCCCCUGGGUUCACAGAGUGGGGAUAGUAGGGGAUGUUGAGACCCCAGAUAUCCUCAGAAUCCCCCUUCUCCUUGUCUGUAAGACGCAUGACCCCGCGCACCUCUCACCCGCUGAGCCGCGCAUGCGCCGCCGCAGCGCGCCAGCAUGGCUCUGGCUUCUUUGUGUGCACCGAGAUCCGCGCGCGGCCUUGGCCAUCUCCGCUUUGUUUUCCUCAGCGCAGUUUUUGUUCGCGAGGCUUUUACCCCCGGAGUAGGUUUCUUGGGGUCACAGUUAAGACAUUUGAUCGUACUGAAACUCGUGUUCAACGAUCUCCUUGCAUGAAAUAGU
RNAcentral lists this long non-coding RNA (1679 nucleotides) under Mus pahari (shrew mouse). RNAcentral's name for it is "lncRNA (MGP_PahariEiJ_G0005018.1)". Lineage: Eukaryota; Metazoa; Chordata; Mammalia; Rodentia; Muridae. The record is from RNAcentral.